UCGUUACAUUCACCCCAAACGAAUCCAACCCUGGAAAUGACAUCCGGAUUGUAGUUCCAAAACUAGAACCGAACACCUGUAUCGUUCCGGACUCAUUUCGCCUGUCGUACGAGUUCAAGAACGAAAACAACAAAUCCUGUUUCAUGAACAACCUCAGUAAACUUCUAUGCGAGCGGCUCAUGAUAAGAGUGGGAGGUGAAAUAGUAUACGACAAUAACGGUGAAAGUCUCACCGAAGUCUACAAAGACCUCUGGAAGAUGAAUUCAAAAAGAGCGAACAUGGUAGAAUACGGAAUCAUGAACGAAAACACAAGAAAGUUACUGUCGAAGGACGACAGCGCCGAUCGGACCGCAAAAACGGAAGGUGCCUACGACCUGGUGAUGGCGAAGGUAUACAAGGAGCAGAAGAUGAAACUCGGAAAAAUUCUUAAUGAUCACGGUCCCUACGC
This is a non-coding RNA of Paramuricea clavata, 448 nucleotides long. Lineage: Eukaryota; Metazoa; Cnidaria; Anthozoa; Malacalcyonacea; Plexauridae. The record is from the annotation of a GenBank genome assembly.